This 242-nucleotide unclassified non-coding RNA is filed under the name uncultured Sordariales. RNAcentral's name for it is "sequence contains 5.8S rRNA gene, ITS2, 28S rRNA gene". The record is from RNAcentral. Lineage: Eukaryota; Fungi; Ascomycota; Sordariomycetes; Sordariales.
AACGCACAUUGCGCCCGCUAGUAUUCUGGCGGGCAUGCCUGUUCGAGCGUCAUUUCAACCAUCAAGCCCUAGGCUUGUGUUGGGGUUCUACGGUCUCCGUAGGCCCCUAAAAGUAGUGGCGAGCUCAUUGUUAUUCCGAGCGUAGUAGUAUAUCUUCGUUCUGGAGGUCACAUGAGUAUUAGCCGUAAAAUCUUACUCCUAAGGUUGACCUCGGAUCAGGUAGGAAUACCCGCUGAACUUAA